AUGAACGCUGGCGGCGUGCCUCAUACCUGCCAGUCGAGCGAACAGACGAGGAGCUUGCUCCUCUGACGUUAGCGGCGGACGGGUGAGUAACACGUGGAUAACCUACCUAUAAGACUGGGAUAACUUCGGGAAACCGGAGCUAAUACCGGAUAAUAUAUUGAACCGCAUGGUUCAAUAGUGAAAGACGGUUUUGCUGUCACUUAUAGAUGGAUCCGCGCCGCAUUAGCUAGUUGGUAAGGUAACGGCUUACCAAGGCAACGAUGCGUAGCCGACCUGAGAGGGUGAUCGGCCACACUGGAACUGAGACACGGUCCAGACUCCUACGGGAGGCAGCAGUAGGGAAUCUUCCGCAAUGGGCGAAAGCCUGACGGAGCAACGCCGCGUGAGUGAUGAAGGUCUUCGGAUCGUAAAACUCUGUUAUUAGGGAAGAACAAAUGUGUAAGUAACUAUGCACGUCUUGACGGUACCUAAUCAGAAAGCCACGGCUAACUACGUG
This 496-nucleotide ribosomal RNA is filed under the name uncultured bacterium. Its description in RNAcentral is "partial 16S ribosomal RNA". It matches the Rfam family "Bacterial small subunit ribosomal RNA", at positions 29 to 507 of the family's 1533-position model. The record is from RNAcentral.